Molecule: long non-coding RNA, 757 nt
Organism: Microtus ochrogaster (prairie vole)
Lineage: Eukaryota; Metazoa; Chordata; Mammalia; Rodentia; Cricetidae
Exons: 7
Source: RefSeq, a predicted model, not a curated record
GGGACAAAAGGAAAAAACCUGGCAGGUGGGGCAAGAUUCUCUCUGGGUGGGUCGCCUGUCUUGAGUUACUUUUUACUUGUUUUUCCGUGCUGCACAGCUAACCUGUUUUUGUAUUUACAAUGCACGACUGCUGAUACUCCAGAAAUAUACUUACCGCACCUCCUGUCCUUAUAGGAGAAGAUUGGCCAAUAGCCAAAUAAGAUUCUGGUCAGGAAAGUGAUUUACUCCAUUUGAUGUUGUGUGGAAUGUCAAUGACCUUGGAACAUGAAAGGGAAUUCAUCAUGAAAGAUCAUGAACUGUAUCUGAGGAACAACCAUGUGUACUUAGCAUGUGAGUCUGCCCUGCUGUGCCUUCAUACUGAUAUCAGCUUUGGAAGUGACCCACAACUGCAAUCCUGAGCAGAGAACCUAUACCUUUUCAAGGAUGAAUGGACUUUUCUUCAUGUUUCACUAGGGAAAGAUAAAUAUCAGGAAAGUAUCUCAAGGGUCUCACAAGAUUGCUCAUGAUAAUCUCAGACUCAAGCAUGCUGGAAGUGCUUCUCCCCAGCUUCUCAGAAGGUUUCACUGAAGACACACUCACCACACCUAGCUGGUGUAAGGUUCUGAUUCAAGCCAUGCUUCCUCUCUGUAUCUCAAGAAGUUGACACUGGAGGAAACACCUUCGAAUGUGGAGACAAACUCUAAAAUUUUCUACCUGCAAGAUGAUGGACCCCCUGUAAUAUGAAGAAUGAAUAAAGAAUAAUUCUUCUUCCAUGUAG